GAUGAACGCUGGCGGCGUGCCUAAUACAUGCAAGUCGAGCGAAUGGAUUAAGAGCUUGCUCUUAUGAAGUUAGCGGCGGACGGGUGAGUAACACGUGGGUAACCCGCCCAUAAGACUGGGAUAACUCCGGGAAACCGGGUCUAAUACCGGAUAACAUUUUGAACCGCAUGGUUCGAAAUUGAACGGCGGCAUCGGCUGGCACUUAUGGAAGGCCCCGCGUCGCAUUAGCUAGUUGGUGAGGUAACGGCUCACCAAGGCCACGAUGCGCAGCCGACCUGAGAGGGUGAUCGGCACCACUGGGACUGAGACACGGCCCAGAGUCCUACGGGAGGCAGCAGUAGGGAAUCUUCCGCAAUGGACGAAAGUCUGACGGAGCAACGCCGCGUGAGUGAUGAAGGCUUUCGGGUCGUAAAACUCUGUUGUUAGGGAAGAACAAGUGCUAGUUGAAUAAGCUGGCACCUUGACGGUACCUAACCUGAAAGCCACGGCUAACUACGUGCCAGCCGCCGCCGUAA
This 515-nucleotide ribosomal RNA is filed under the name uncultured bacterium. RNAcentral describes it as "partial 16S ribosomal RNA". It matches the Rfam family "Bacterial small subunit ribosomal RNA", at positions 28 to 523 of the family's 1533-position model. The record is from RNAcentral.